Molecule: small RNA, 123 nt
Filed under: Escherichia coli
Lineage: Bacteria; Pseudomonadati; Pseudomonadota; Gammaproteobacteria; Enterobacterales; Enterobacteriaceae
Description: RtT sRNA
Rfam family: RtT RNA
About the family: This family represents a bacterial cis-regulatory element known as RtT RNA. The exact function of RtT is unknown although it is thought that it may be involved in changing the cellular response in relation to amino acid starvation.
Source: RNAcentral
AUUCUGCCCAUGCGGGGAAGGAUGAGAAGCUUCAACCAAGGUUCGACUUGAGCGCCAGCGAGAGAGCGUUGCCGCAGGCAACGACCCGAANNGCAGCGCUGAGUAAUCCUUCUCCCACCACCA